UUGUAGGUAAUUAUGCAGACCGUGUUCCUUUUCUCAUGAGAGCCUGGUGUGCAAUGGUGGCAAACAGCAGCCCCCUUGGUAGUAUAUGUAGCCUGUUGCUUGUACGGGUUGCUCUAAGGGACAUUACUUUCUUUU
Molecule: small nucleolar RNA, 135 nt
Organism: Nycticebus coucang (slow loris)
Lineage: Eukaryota; Metazoa; Chordata; Mammalia; Primates; Lorisidae
Product: small nucleolar RNA SNORA70
Exons: 1
Source: RefSeq, a predicted model, not a curated record